UACAGAGACUGCAAGCGUUAUUCGGAUUCACUGGGCGUAAAGGGUGCGCAGGCGGCCAAGUGGGUGAGGCGUGAAAGCCCGAUGCUCAACAUCGGAAUUGCACCUCAAACUACAUGGCUAGAGCAUUGGAGAGGGUAGCGGAAUUCACGGUGUAGCAGUGAAAUGCGUAGAUAUCGUGAGGAACACCAGAGGCGAAGGCGGCUACCUGGACAAUUGCUGACGCUCAGGCACGAAAGCGUGGGGAGCAAAAGGG
This 253-nucleotide ribosomal RNA is filed under the name uncultured bacterium. Its description in RNAcentral is "partial 16S ribosomal RNA". It matches the Rfam family "Bacterial small subunit ribosomal RNA", at positions 524 to 776 of the family's 1533-position model. The record is from RNAcentral.